UGGGGAAUAUUGGACAAUGGGGGCAACCCUGAUCCAGCAAUGCCGCGUGUGUGAAGAAGGUCUUCGGAUUGUAAAGCACUUUCGACGGGGGCGAUGAUGACGGUACCCGUAGAAGAAGCCCCGGCUAACUUCGUGCCAGCAGCCGCGGUAAUACGAAGGGGGCUAGCGUUGCUCGGAAUGACUGGGCGUAAAGGGCGUGUAGGCGGUUUACACAGUCAGAUGUGAAAUCCCCGGGCUUAACCUGGGAGCUGCAUUUGAUACGUGUAGACUAGAGUGUGAGAGAGGGUUGUGGAAUUCCCAGUGUAGAGGUGAAAUUCGUAGAUAUUGGGAAGAACACCGGUGGCGAAGGCGGCAACCUGGCUCAUGACUGACGCUGAGGCGCGAAAGCGUGGGGAGCAAACAGGAUUAGAUACCCUGGUAGUCCACGCUGUAAACGAUGUGUGCUAGAUGUUGGGUAACUUUGUUAUUCAGUGUCGCAGUUAACGCGUUAAGCACACCGCCUGGGGAGUACGGCCGCAAGGUUGAAAC
RNAcentral lists this ribosomal RNA (528 nucleotides) under uncultured bacterium. Its description in RNAcentral is "partial 16S ribosomal RNA". It matches the Rfam family "Bacterial small subunit ribosomal RNA", at positions 355 to 900 of the family's 1533-position model. The record is from RNAcentral.